UACGGAGGAUCCAAGCGUUAUUCGGAAUUACUGGGCGUAAAGCGUGCGCAGGCGGUCCGCUAAGACAGAUGUGAAAUCCCCGGGCUUAACCUGGGAACUGCAUUUGUGACUGGCGGGCUAGAGUAUGGCAGAGGGGGGUAGAAUUCCACGUGUAGCAGUGAAAUGCGUAGAGAUGUGGAGGAAUACCGAUGGCGAAGGCAGCCCCCUGGGCCAAUACUGACGCUCAUGCACGAAAGCGUGGGGAGCAAACAGG
RNAcentral lists this ribosomal RNA (253 nucleotides) under uncultured bacterium. RNAcentral's name for it is "partial 16S ribosomal RNA". It matches the Rfam family "Bacterial small subunit ribosomal RNA", at positions 524 to 776 of the family's 1533-position model. The record is from RNAcentral.